ACGAGUGGCGGACGGGUGAGUAAUGUCUGGGAAACUGCCUGAUGGAGGGGGAUAACUACUGGAAACGGUAGCUAAUACCGCAUAACGUCGCAAGACCAAAGAGGGGGACCUUAGGGCCUCUUGCCAUCGGAUGUGCCCAGAUGGGAUUAGCUAGUAGGUGGGGUAAAGGCUCACCUAGGCGACGAUCCCUAGCUGGUCUGAGAGGACGACCAGCCACACUGGAACUGAGACACGGUCCAG
RNAcentral lists this ribosomal RNA (240 nucleotides) under uncultured bacterium. RNAcentral describes it as "partial 16S ribosomal RNA". It matches the Rfam family "Bacterial small subunit ribosomal RNA", at positions 91 to 334 of the family's 1533-position model. The record is from RNAcentral.